Molecule: long non-coding RNA, 754 nt
Organism: Lagenorhynchus albirostris (white-beaked dolphin)
Lineage: Eukaryota; Metazoa; Chordata; Mammalia; Artiodactyla; Delphinidae
Exons: 5
Source: RefSeq, a predicted model, not a curated record
CGCCGCGGGAAAAGCGGUCCUGUUAGGUGGUCAAGGUGGUUUGGAGCUGAGGUCGUCUUCUCAAGAGUAACCGCGGGCCUGUGCUACGGUCACGCCACCGGCCUUCGUUUCCUUUAGCCUUCUCUCUCACCAAACGAUUUUCCUGUCCAUUUAUAAAGUGCAAGUUGUUUCCCCAAGGUUCCAGCAUUUCUUCAUCGGUGGUUGUUCAACAUUUAGUUGUGACCCUAGUAUUUCCAUCAGAAGAGUACACGGACCUCUCACCACCGCGGCCUCUCCCACUGCAGAGCACAGGUUCCGGACGCGCAGGCCCAGCGGCCGUGGCUCACGGGCCCAGCCACUCCGCGGCAUGUGGGAUCAUCCCGGACGGGGGCAUGAACCCGCGUCCCCUGCAUCGGCAGGCGGACUCUCAACCACUGUGCCACCAGGGAAGCCCCGUUGUUGCAAUUUUAAAAGCUGAGAUGGAGCAAUAGAGACCAGAUGUACCUUUCCCAGCUGAAACAACUAAAAAGACAAGACAAAAUGUAUUAAAGAAUGGUUCUUGAGACACUGGACACUACACAGUGAAGAACAGUGAUCCCUGAGAGAUGAGAACCAAAUAAGAUCUUGGAAUGCUCCAGUCUUUUUGCAAAGUCGAUGAGUGGCUUCAGCCCUGGGGAAGAAGCCCGAAAGGUGACCAGAUGGAACCUGCAUUCACAGUCUUCAAAGUUCCCUUUUGAAACAUAAGGAAGAGAAUGAAGGGGAGAAGGAUUUCACA